Molecule: long non-coding RNA, 804 nt
Filed under: Rattus norvegicus (Norway rat)
Lineage: Eukaryota; Metazoa; Chordata; Mammalia; Rodentia; Muridae
Description: long non-coding RNA NONRATT033852
Source: RNAcentral
CUCAAAAUGGGAACUCCAUUCUAGCCCUAUUGGUUGAUGGAGAACCAUCAAGUUGACUGUCUGAGUAUGACCAUUCACACAAGAUCUCCAAUCUGCUGCCGAGUGUCUUUGAGUCACAGUGCGAUUUACUGUGAAACUAUUUGGGCAACUUGGGGAGCUGAUGGGAGCCAGAACUUUUGCAUCUUAAAAACAUGCAUGCACAAAUUAAGGAUGCUUUUAUUUUUAACGGUCUCAGGGUUGUACUCCCUUGUCUGUUUCCUAGGCCUUACCACUCUCUGUGUGUGUUCUGGCAUGCUGGGAGGUCAUGUCUUCUAUAAACAUGUGAGGUGACCACUCUUGGCAUUCUGCAGUCUGGCGCAUUGACAAUCUGGUAGCUGGAUAUGGAUGAAGAACCUGUGGAGAGGGGACAGAAAAGGUAUGAGACAUGGUCCAGGAAUGGAGUCCUGUGAGAAGACUUCUGAGUGCUUAUUCUCUGUAGAAUGUCAAACCUCAGCUGCCUUCAUGGAGAAGACUCCUGUACUGUGCUCACAUCCAUGGUCCAGAGGCCCUUUGCCAGGCAGCUCAGCCCACACCAGGUUCAGCAUGGCGGGCAGAUCCUCUAAGACAGUGAUUCUCUAUUUGGGAGUCGCAUAUCAGGUAUCCUGCAUAUCAGAUAUUCACAUUACUAUUCAUAACAUUAGCAAAAUUAAAGUAAUGAAGUAGCAACAAAAUAAUUUUACAGUUGGGGGGUCACCACAACAUGAGGAAGUGUAUUCAAAAGUUGAAGCAUCAAGAAGGUUGAGAACCAUUGCUCUACGGACUAGC